AUUGAACGCUGGCGGCAGGCCUAACACAUGCAAGUCGAGCGAGCGGCGGACGGGUGAGUAAUGUAUGGGGACUGCCCGAUAGAGGGGGGUAACUACUGGAAACGGUAGCUAAUACCGCAUACUAUCGGAUAACCCAUAUGGGAUUGGCUAGUAGGUGAGGUAAUGGCUCACCUAGGCGACGAUCCCUAGCUGGUCUGAGAGGAUGAUCAGCCACACUGGGAUUGAGACACGGCCCGGACGCCUACGGAGGCACCAGUGGGGAAUUUUGCACAAUGGCCGCAAGCCGUAUGCAGCCAUGCCGCGUGUAUGAAGAAGGCCUUAGGGUUGUAAAGUACUUUCAGUCGGGAGGCGUUAACGACCGAAGAAGCACCGGCUAACUCCGUGCCAGCAGCCGCGGUAAUAC
This 403-nucleotide ribosomal RNA is filed under the name uncultured bacterium. RNAcentral describes it as "partial 16S ribosomal RNA". It matches the Rfam family "Bacterial small subunit ribosomal RNA", at positions 30 to 526 of the family's 1533-position model. The record is from RNAcentral.